AUUGAACGCUGGCGGCAUGCCUUACACAUGCAAGUCGAACGGUAACGGGCCUUCGGGUGCCGACGAGUGGCGAACGGGUGAGUAAUGCAUCGGAACGUACCUUUCAGUGGGGGAUAACGUAGCGAAAGUUACGCUAAUACCGCAUAUUCUGUGAGCAGGAAAGCAGGGGAUCGCAAGACCUUGCGCUGAUUGAGCGGCCGAUGUCAGAUUAGCUAGUUGGUGAGGUAAAGGCUCACCAAGGCGACGAUCUGUAGCGGGUCUGAGAGGAUGAUCCGCCACACUGGAACUGAGACACGGUCCAGACUCCUACGGGAGGCAGCAGUGGGGAAUUUUGGACAAUGGGGGCAACCCUGAUCCAGCCAUGCCGCGUGAGUGAAGAAGGCCUUCGGGUUGUAAAGCUCUGUUGUAAGGGACGAAUGUCGCGAUCAAUAAUACGGAUUGCGAAUGACGUACCUUACCAGCAAGCCCCGGCUAACUACGUGCC
Molecule: ribosomal RNA, 484 nt
Filed under: uncultured bacterium
Lineage: Bacteria
Description: bacterial SSU rRNA
Rfam family: Bacterial small subunit ribosomal RNA
Source: RNAcentral